Molecule: long non-coding RNA, 1302 nt
Filed under: Capra hircus (goat)
Lineage: Eukaryota; Metazoa; Chordata; Mammalia; Artiodactyla; Bovidae
Description: lncRNA (ENSCHIG00010000010.1)
Source: RNAcentral
CUAAUAAGUUUAUCUCUAAUCAUAAUAAAUGACUUAUGUAAGUUAAUAUUUAAGGAAUACAGUUUUAAAUUAUUACUAAGGAUCCACCAGUAACACGGGAGACCUCGGUUCGAUCUCUCCAUUCGAUCUCAGGUUGGGAAGAUCUCCUGAAGGAGGGCAUGGCAACCCACUCCACUACUCUUGCCUGGAGAAUCCCCAGGGACAGAGGAGCCCGCUGGGCUACAGUCCAUUGGGUGGCAAAAAGUCAAACGAUUGAACGACUAAGUACUGGCAAAUGUUAAUUUACUUACAAAGUGUAUCGAGAUUUUAAAUGUCUGUAAAUGUAAUGAGGGGAAAGAGAAGAUAAUAUUCUCUUAUGAGAGAGAGAAUGCUAUACUUCCUACUUUUAACUGGAAAACUGCAAAGGAGACAAGUAUAUGGAAAAGUCUAGAUAUAAGCCAAAUGAGUUAAGAGCUCCAACAAAUGUAAAGGAAAGAAACAAAAUUAAAUGAGUGAUAUUAAAUCGGAUAGGAAAGAUCAAAGAAGAGUCAAUCAAAGAAGAAGAUAUUUGAGCUGGAAUAGUAUAAGAAAAUAAAAUGUUUAUUUUAUUAUUAAAAAAAUUAUGUUCUUUCAUUAUUAAAAAGCUUCAUUUUCACUCUAGUUUUGGGGUAUUUUACAAUAUUUAGAUUUACUUCUAAUAAUCUAGAGUAUUUACUCAAAUAAACACCCUGGGAAAUAAAUGCCAAAUUUGGCUGGUUACAAUCACUUUUUAAGCAUAUAUAAUUAAAAGUCAACAAAGUAUAGUUUAUUUACUAAGCACACAGGAAACUCAAAUCUGCAGGGGUUGCCUUUUUCAUCACUGUACCAUGUUCACAUUCCUUAUACACUUUCUGUGCAGGAACCAAACAUAGUAAACAUAAUAAUAGUAUAAAGUAAAUUAUGAAAAUAAAAAGUUAGCCCAAAUAUAUUUGGAGGGUUAGCUUACUUGAGCUAAAUCUUGUAAAAUAAACAAUUGCCCCUUCCUGUAAGUGUNNNNNNNNNNNNNNNNNNNNNNNNNNNNNNNNNNNNNNNNNNNNNNNGCAUGCUUUUUAAUAUAUAUGAUCAGUAAGGCUGAAUAGUUCACUAAUGCACUGUAUUCCCUAAUGAACCAACCAAUUUGAUAACUUUGCCAAUGCCAGCUUUCAAACAAAGCAGCCCCUCAUUGACAUUCCAGUGCAAUAGCUAAUAACAAUUAGAUUUCAUUCUAGCAUUGUAUCUUGUCAUUGUCAUCCCAACAAGAGAUGCUCUCCUUAUAAUCUAUAGAAUUGACAUAAAUGUAAAUGU